This is a long non-coding RNA of Oncorhynchus tshawytscha (Chinook salmon), 1502 nucleotides long. The record is from Ensembl. Lineage: Eukaryota; Metazoa; Chordata; Actinopteri; Salmoniformes; Salmonidae.
GUACUAGACUGGUUCUCUCUCCUCCUCCUCUCUAAUGUAGCUAUACUAGACUGGUUCUCUCUCCUCCUCUCUAAUAUAGCUGUACAUGACUGGUUCUCCAUCCUCCUCUCUAAUGUAUUUAUACUAUACUGGUUUUCCCUUCUCCUAUUCUCAAUAAUGUAUCUAUACUAGACUGGUUGUCCCUCCUCCUCUCUAAUGUAUCUAUCAUAGACUGGUUCUCCCUCCUCCUCCUCUCUAAUGUAUCUAUACUAUACUUGUUCUCCCUUCUCCUCCUCUCUAAUGUAUCUAUACUAGACUGGUUGUCCCUCCUCCUCUAUUAUGUAGCUAAACUAGACUGGUUCUCCCUCCUCCUCCUCUCUAAUGUAUCUAUAAUAGACUGGUUCUCCCUCCUCCUCCUCUCUAAUGUAGCUAUACUAGACUGGUUCUCCCUCCUCCUCUCUAAUGUAGCUAUACUAGACUGGUUCUCUCUCCUCCUCUCUAAUAUAACUUUACAUGACUGGUUCUCCGUCCUCCUCUCUAAUGUAUCUAAUCUAUACUGGUUUUCCCUUCUCCUAUUCUAUAUAAUGUAUCUAUACUAGGCUGGUUCUCCCUCCUCCUCCUCUCUAAUGUGUCUAUACUAGACUGGUUUUCCCUCCUCCUCUCUAAUGUAUCUAUACUAGACUGGUUUUCCCUCCUCCUCCUCUAUUAUGUAGCUGUACUAGACUGGUUCUCCCUCCUCCUCCUCUCUAAUGUAGCUGUACUAGACUGGUUCUCCCUACUCCUCCUCUCUAAUGUAGCUAUACUAGACUGGUUCUCCCUCCUCCUCCUCUCUAAUGUAGCUAUACUAUACUGGUUCUCCGUCCUCCUCCUCUCUAAUGUAGCUAUACUAGACUGGUUCUCCAUCCUCCUCUCUAAUGGAGCUAUACUAGACUGCUUCUCUCUCCUCCUCUCUAAUAUAGCUGUACAUGACUGGUUCUCCAUCCUCCUCUCUAAUGUAUCUAUACUAUACUGGUUGUCCCUCCUCCUCCUCUCUAAUGUAUCUAUCAUAGACUGGUUCUCCCUCCUCCUCCUCUUUAAUGUAGCUGUACUAGACUGGUUCUCCCUCCUCCUCCUCCUCCUCUCUAAUGUAGCUAUACUAGACUGGUUCUCCCUCCUCCUCUCUAAUGUAUCUAUACUAGACUGCUUCUCCCUCCUCCUCUCUAAUGUAGCUAUUCUAGACUGGUUCUCCCUCCUCCUCCUCUCUAAUGUAUCUAUUCUAGACUGGUUUUCCCUCCUCCUCCUCUUUAAUGUAGCUGUACUAGACUGUUUCUACCUCCUCCUCCUCUCUAAUGUAGCUGUACUAGACUGGUUCUCCCUCCUCCUCUCUAAUGUAGCUGUACUAGACUGGAUCUCCCUCCUCCUCCUCUUUAAUGUACCUUUACUAGACUGGUUAUCACUCCUCCUCUCUAAUGUAUCUAUACUAGACUGGUUCUUCCUCCUCCUCUCUAAUGUAGCUGUACUAGACUGGUUCUCCCUCCUCCGCC